GUGUCAGCACGGGCGCGGGAGAGCCUCAGCGGUCUGUAAUAUCGUCGCCGUUUGGCUGAGUCGGUUCGAAUCCGACCUGACACACCA
This 87-nucleotide transfer RNA is filed under the name Chloroflexaceae bacterium. RNAcentral describes it as "tRNA-Tyr". The record is from RNAcentral. Lineage: Bacteria; Bacillati; Chloroflexota; Chloroflexia; Chloroflexales; Chloroflexaceae.